UUGAAACACAGAUUCUCAUCUGAUCACCAAAGUUAAGCAACAUUGAAGCUGGUCAGUACCUAGAUGAGUGAUCAUUUGGGAAUACCAAGUGUU
Non-coding RNA from Acanthosepion pharaonis, 93 nucleotides. The record is from the annotation of a GenBank genome assembly. Lineage: Eukaryota; Metazoa; Mollusca; Cephalopoda; Sepiida; Sepiidae.